RNAcentral lists this long non-coding RNA (666 nucleotides) under Mytilus galloprovincialis (Mediterranean mussel). The record is from RNAcentral. Lineage: Eukaryota; Metazoa; Mollusca; Bivalvia; Mytilida; Mytilidae.
AUUAUCUUGAAUUUGCUUGAAUCUAUUUACUUGAAAUGUUGAAGCUUUGUUAAGAUUGAUUAAGCUCCUUGAAUAUUUUAAAAAGUUUGUUGUUACUACACACAUGUUUCAAAGUAUUCAUUUAUGAGCUUUAAUAUAUAAAAUAUCAAUUGUUUAAGAGAACUAUAGGACUUUAACCAUCAAGUUAAAGAUAAUUUUGCUGACUUUAGUAUUCUUAAUGGAUAUGUUACGCUUUUGUUGCGAUUGAGGAAAGUAAAUUAACAGCAGGUCACUUCUAGGUUUUGCCCAAGAAUUUUUUUUUAUGCAAAUGAUUCUUUAAAUUCAUCAUCCAUGGAGUUUCAUUACAAUGUUCAAAUGUGAAUUUUCAGAAUAGUAGUAAUUUGUAUGUAUAGACACAUCAGGUAUGCUUUUAGGCACGAUAUUAUAAAGUUAUGUUUCAUGAUCAACAAGAUACUGACAUACCUAACGACCCUCUGGUUUUGAACUGGUUGUAUUUAUAACUAAUAGGUUAUGGACAUUCCAAAUCAAAACUCUUUUUACAAAAAAUUUCUAGAGGAAAAAUACUAGUACUUCAUGAAAAUUUCAGUAUAAAUUGCUCUCAAUUUUUUUUAUAUUCUUUGGGAAUAGAGUCCCAACAAAAUAAUUUAGACUACAGUAUUUUUGUUC